UGUGUGGAGAACAUGACAGCAGGACCAAAGCUCAGAGGAUCCAUCAGAGACCAGGACCUGAACCUGCACCCAGCUGUGUGUCCAUGAAGAGUAACCGGUCUAUGAAUCCUCCUAUGAAAUUCAAAGAUAGUCCCUCUGUUGAUGCAAGGUCACAUCAGCAGAGAGGAAGGUCUCCUGAACCCAGAUGUUUGUCCAUG
Non-coding RNA from Gasterosteus aculeatus aculeatus (three-spined stickleback), 197 nucleotides. The record is from RefSeq and is a predicted model, not a curated record. Lineage: Eukaryota; Metazoa; Chordata; Actinopteri; Perciformes; Gasterosteidae.